RNAcentral lists this ribosomal RNA (264 nucleotides) under uncultured Ascomycota. RNAcentral describes it as "partial 18S ribosomal RNA". It matches the Rfam family "Eukaryotic small subunit ribosomal RNA", at positions 619 to 888 of the family's 1831-position model. The record is from RNAcentral. Lineage: Eukaryota; Fungi; Ascomycota.
UUAAAAAGCUCGUAGUUGAACCUUGGGCCUGGCUGGCCGGUCCGCCUCACCGCGUGUACUGGUCCGGCCGGGCCUUUCCCUCUGUGGAACCCCAUGCCCUUCACUGGGUGUGGCGGGGAAACAGGACUUUUACUGUGAAAAAAUUAGAGUGCUCCAGGCAGGCCUAUGCUCGAAUACAUUAGCAUGGAAUAAUAGAAUAGGACGUGUGGUUCUAUUUUGUUGGUUUCUAGGACCGCCGUAAUGAUUAAUAGGAACAGUCGGGGG